AUGGGAGUCACCUGGAGAGACUGUUAAAAUGCAGAUUCUAAUCAAUAGGUCAGGGUCAAAUGCAGCCUAAAAUUCUGCAUUUUUAACAAGCUCCCAGAGGAUGCUGAG
RNAcentral lists this microRNA precursor (108 nucleotides) under Marmota monax (woodchuck). Lineage: Eukaryota; Metazoa; Chordata; Mammalia; Rodentia; Sciuridae. The record is from RNAcentral.